RNAcentral lists this ribosomal RNA (435 nucleotides) under uncultured bacterium. RNAcentral describes it as "partial 16S ribosomal RNA". It matches the Rfam family "Bacterial small subunit ribosomal RNA", at positions 28 to 507 of the family's 1533-position model. The record is from RNAcentral.
GAUGAACGCUGGCGGUAUGCUUAACACAUGCAAGUCGAACGGACUCUUCGGAGUUAGUGGCGGACGGGUGAGUAACGCGUGAGAAUCUGGCUUUGGGUUCGGGACAACCACUGGAAACGGUGGCUAAUACCGGAUGUGCCGAGAGGUAAAAGAGAAAUUGCCUGAAGAUGAGCUCGCGUCUGAUUAGCUAGUUGGUGAGGUAAAGGCUCACCAAGGCAGCGAUCAGUAGCUGGUCUGAGAGGAUGACCAGCCACACUGGGACUGAGACACGGCCCAGACUCAUAGGGGAGGCAGCAGUGGGGAAUUUUCCGAAAUGGGCGAAAGCCUGACGGAGCAAUACCGCGUGAGGGAAGAAGGCUCUUGGGUUGUAAACCUCUUUUCUUAGGGAAGAACAAAAUGACGGUACCUAAGGAAUAAGCAUCGGCUAACUCCGUG